RNAcentral lists this ribosomal RNA (481 nucleotides) under uncultured bacterium. Its description in RNAcentral is "partial 16S ribosomal RNA". It matches the Rfam family "Bacterial small subunit ribosomal RNA", at positions 28 to 507 of the family's 1533-position model. The record is from RNAcentral.
GACGAACGUUGGCGGCGUGCUUAAUACAUGCAAGUCAACUGAAGCAGUGGUAGCAAUAUCGCUGUGGAGGUGGCGCACGGGUGAGUAACACGUAGGUAAUCUGCCUUCAGGUCUGGCAUAACUCCGGGAAACCGGGGCUAAUAGCAGAUGAUGCAGCGGCUCGACAUCGAGACAGUUGUUAAAGCUAUGGCGCCUGAAGAUGAGCCUGCGUCUAAUUAGCUAGUUGGCGGGGUAACGGCCCACCAAGGCAACGAUCAGUAGCUGGUCUGAGAGGAUGAUCAGCCACACUGGAACUGAGACACGGUCCAGACUCCUACGGGAGGCAGCAGUAAGGAAUAUUGCUCAAUGGGAGAAAUCCUGAAGCAGCAACGCCGCGUGAGGGACGAAGGGCUUUUGCUUGUAAACCUCUGUAGUGAGAGAAAAAAAUCCCAAUCUUUGGGACAUGAUGGUAUCUCAAAAGUAAGCCCCGGCUAACUACGUG